AAUGAACGCUGGCGGCAUGCCUAACACAUGCAAGUCGAACGAAGGCUUCGGCCUUAGUGGCGCACGGGUGCGUAACGCGUGGGAAUCUGCCCUCAGAUUCGGAAUAACAGCGAGAAAUUGCUGCUAAUACCGGAUGAUAUCGCGAGAUCAAAGAUUUAUCGCCUGAGGAUGAGCCCGCGUAGGAUUAGCUAGUUGGUGUGGUAAAGGCGCACCAAGGCGACGAUCCUUAGCUGGUCUGAGAGAAUGAUCAGCCACACUGGGACUGAGACACGGCCCAGACUCCUACGGGAGGCAGCAGUGGGGAAUAUUGGACAAUGGGCGAAAGCCUGAUCCAGCAAUGCCGCGUGAGUGAUGAAGGCCUUAGGGUUGUAAAGCUCUUUUACCCGGGAUGAUAAUGACAGUACCGGGAGAAUAAGCUCCGGCUAACUCCGUGCCAGCAGCCGCCGUAA
This 449-nucleotide ribosomal RNA is filed under the name uncultured bacterium. RNAcentral describes it as "partial 16S ribosomal RNA". It matches the Rfam family "Bacterial small subunit ribosomal RNA", at positions 29 to 523 of the family's 1533-position model. The record is from RNAcentral.